GUCUACGGCCAUACCACCCUAAAUGUGCCUGAUCUCGUCUGAUCUCGGAAGCUAAGCAGGGUCGGGCCUGGUUAGUACUUGGAUGGGAGAAACUGGGUACAGUGGUGC
RNAcentral lists this ribosomal RNA (108 nucleotides) under Heterocephalus glaber (naked mole-rat). The record is from RNAcentral. Lineage: Eukaryota; Metazoa; Chordata; Mammalia; Rodentia; Bathyergidae.